GAUGAAGAACGCAGCGAAAUGCGAUAAGUAAUGUGAAUUGCAGAAUUCAGUGAAUCAUCGAGUCUUUGAACGCACAUUGCGCCCCCUGGUAUUCCGGGGGGCAUGCCUGUCCGAGCGUCAUUGCUGCCCUCAAGCACGGCUUGUGUGUUGGGCCCCGUCCUCCGAUCCCGGGGGACGGGCCCGAAAGGCAGCGGCGGCACCGCGUCCGGUCCUCGAGCGUAUGGGGCUUUGUCACCCGCUCUGUAGGCCCGGCCGGCGCUUGCCGAUCAACCCAAAUUUUUAUCCAGGUUGACCUCGGAUCAGGUAGGGAUACCCGCUGAACUUAAGCAUAUCAAUAAGCGGAGGA
Molecule: unclassified non-coding RNA, 346 nt
Filed under: soil metagenome
Description: partial contains 5.8S ribosomal RNA, internal transcribed spacer 2, and large subunit ribosomal RNA
Rfam family: 5.8S ribosomal RNA (bases 1-120)
Source: RNAcentral